Molecule: ribosomal RNA, 482 nt
Filed under: uncultured bacterium
Lineage: Bacteria
Description: partial 16S ribosomal RNA
Rfam family: Bacterial small subunit ribosomal RNA
Source: RNAcentral
AUUGAACGCUGGCGGCAGGCCUAACACAUGCAAGUCGAGCGGAUGAAGGGAGCUUGCUCCUGGAUUCAGCGGCGGACGGGUGAGUAAUGCCUAGGAAUCUGCCUGGUAGUGGGGGAUAACGUCCGGAAACGGGCGCUAAUACCGCAUACGUCCUGAGGGAGAAAGUGGGGGAUCUUCGGACCUCACGCUAUCAGAUGAGCCUAGGUCGGAUUAGCUAGUUGGUGGGGUAAAGGCCUACCAAGGCGACGAUCCGUAACUGGUCUGAGAGGAUGAUCAGUCACACUGGAACUGAGACACGGUCCAGACUCCUACGGGAGGCAGCAGUGGAGAAUAUUGGACAAUGGGCGAAAGCCUGAUACAGCCAUGCCGCGUGUGUGAAGAAGGUCUUCGGAUUGUAAAGCACUUUAAGUUGGGAGGAAGGGCAGUAAGUUAAUACCUUGCUGUUUUGACGUUACCAACAGAAUAAGCACCGGCUAACCUCG